GACAGAGGGUGCAAACGUUGUUCGGAAUUACUGGGCGUAAAGCGCGUGUAGGCGGCUUGGCAAGUCGGGUGUGAAAGCCCUGGGCUCAACCUAGGAAGUGCACUCGAAACUGCUUCGCUUGAGUGUCGGAGAGGAAAGCGGAAUUCUCGGUGUAGAGGUGAAAUUCGUAGAUAUCGAGAGGAACACCGGUGGCGAAGGCGGCUUUCUGGACGACAACUGACGCUGAGACGCGAAAGCGUGGGGAGCAAACGGG
RNAcentral lists this ribosomal RNA (253 nucleotides) under uncultured bacterium. RNAcentral's name for it is "partial 16S ribosomal RNA". It matches the Rfam family "Bacterial small subunit ribosomal RNA", at positions 524 to 776 of the family's 1533-position model. The record is from RNAcentral.